CAAUGGGUCAACAGAAUUUAAGCACAAUUCUGUCCAUGAAAUAAAACCUAGUCCAUCAUCAAAGCGGGUCAAAUUGGGUCAGGAAAAUACAUUUGCAGUGGAACGACAGGAUGAGGAAUGCAAUUCUCAUGCUUGGACUGCUAAUCAGGUUGAAAAUGCACUAAGGUCAAAGUUUGAGGGUAGUUCAGAAAACCCUGAAGAAAUAGGC
RNAcentral lists this unclassified non-coding RNA (208 nucleotides) under Hevea brasiliensis (rubber tree). The record is from RNAcentral. Lineage: Eukaryota; Viridiplantae; Streptophyta; Magnoliopsida; Malpighiales; Euphorbiaceae.